UGCUCGGUAGCUUGGUUGGCAAAGCGCUCGUCUAGUGUACAAGAGUCGUACGUUCAAAUCUCACCUAAGCUU
This is a non-coding RNA of Aedes albopictus (Asian tiger mosquito), 72 nucleotides long. The record is from Rfam. Lineage: Eukaryota; Metazoa; Arthropoda; Insecta; Diptera; Culicidae.